GUAGUUUAAUUCCAGUGAGAAAAAAUGCACGUGUGGUGCAGGUCCAUUGUUCCCAAACGGCUUAACUCACACUUUGGGGAGGGGACAAAGCAUCUUAUGGACAUAAAGUUCCCCGGAACAUUCUUGAGAAAAUGCUUGCCUGGGAAUGCGUUUCCGCCUUCCCUCUCUGACUAAGGGAAAACUACACUUAGAGCUGGAAGAAAGGGUUUGGGGCUGAAAAAUUAGAGUAACUGGCCCUGGAAGCUGCCGACUGGCCAGAUGUUGUAGGGAUGCAACUUGUUGAGUUGUGGAUGUGAUUUCUUUGGAGGCAUAUACCACGAAUCCUUUGAGACCUAAGGAGAAACAUAGUCUUAUUUUGAUUCAGUAUAAAAACUCAACUUGGGUUGAUUUCAGGGGAGCCAAGACUGGCCUACAGAGGAAGUAUGCAUAUUUGGAAGAGCUGGGAAAGCCCUUAAGAAAGCUCCUUCAUGUAUCGAGUAUCUCCCAGCUGGACAUUAGGAGGUCACUAUUUGAUUUAUUUCUUGCGAUUAAAUCGGUGCUUCAGCCAAGACUGUUUCCUUCAGUGACAAGUGUCUCUGGAGGGAUGAACGAGAGAGGCAGACCUGUGUGAUGGCCAAGCACCCAGCUUCAAAGUGUCCUAUCUGGUGCCAUCCAGGCUCUGCCACUUCUUAACAAUAAUCUGGGAACGUCCCUGUCCUCUAAGUCUAAAUGUCUUCAUCUGUAAAAUGAAGGUAAUAGUAAUGUCCACUUCUUAAAAAUCUAGUAAAGAUUAUAAUGUUGCAUAAAUAAAGCAUUUUGCUCAGUGACUAACUAGCCCACAGUAAGUGCUCAAUAAACCUUAGCUAUUACGUAUGACAGGCUAUUAUUAACCCUUAUUGGCCCUUAUCAUUAGAGCACAUUUAAUUUCUCAGAUUGAUUUCCACAGCGAUAGCUCCCUAGGAAUAUUGGACAGGACAGAGGGAGAGAGAGAGAAAUCUUCCUUGCUCCAUGAGGAAGAUACAGGGAUAGUGUGUAUACAGGUCAGGCAAGAGAGGCAAGUUUAGGCAUGAGAUGUACCUAGAUUCCAGUCCUGAUUUUGCUACUUGAAGUUCUUGGGAUAAUGGGAAUUUACUUAGUUCUCUGGGCCUCAGGUUCUAUUUCCAUAAAAAAGUGGAAAGUAAUCCUACCAUCUUUCUAAAGCACUAGCUGGAAUAAGGUAGGGAGAGAAUAAAUGAGUACAUGAUAAAUAACAGCUACCUUAUGUGGGGCUCAACUCAUUGGAGCUCUUCUUCAUGGGAAGGCGCUGGGUACCAGGUGGGAGCUGAGCAUCCCAGGGAAGAAGACAGCGCAGUGUGGCAGGUGGUCCUUAGAAUGGGAGAGAGAAGUGAAUCAAGGACAAUCCUCACUUCACAAUUUUAUUCUAAGUCACUGUCAAAGUAUUUUGGUUACACUGAAGCUUUCUUUUCUUUUUCAUCAUAUCAUGGACAUAUAUGGGAGAUAUAUGGGACAUAUAUGAUGGCUUUUAAUGCUUUGGACUCAGCUUGCUGCAAACUGCACACAAAUCUGAUGAAGGAGUGAACACAGCUGGCGUCAGAGGCUGGGAGGUGAAGGCCCUCAUCGAUUGAGUGGGGACAUGGUGGGCAGGAGGAGAGACUGGCGGGGAUACAGCGUGAGUGUGUAGGGAGGGGGAUAUUUUGAGAUUAAGUGUAAUUAUCCACCAUGACUCUUGCCAUAAAGAAAAAAACGGCUGAAAAGUCAUGUUGUAAAGUAUGGAAACUAAAGAACUGUCUCAUUUGCAAUGAAACACCCUCUUGUUUCAAAUAACAUUCUAUUUUUUUCCAAGUUGCUAAUACAUUUAGACUGUUCAAAAUCAAAAUGAUAUAAAAGGUACACACAAAGAAGUCCACUUCACAUCUGUCCCCUCCCAUCUGUCCUAUCCUCUCUCACUUCCCACUCUUUGUACUACUUUUGGUUUGUUGGCGUAUUUACCUUUCCAACAGGUCUUUUUACAUACGCAGAUAGAACAAAAUAUACUGUUACCCAUCCUCCUCAUUUUAUUACACAAAAAUGCAGCCCACGUCGUAUUGAGUUUUGCAUGCUGUUUUCUCUGCUUAACAGGACAGCCCAAAUGCCUCUGUACAUCAGUGCAGAAAAGUUGCUCAUUAUUUUUUUACAGCUGCAUAGGAUUGAUUUUGUAAAUAUGCCAUGUUUUAUUUGGGUCCUAUCCAAACUCCGUCACAGUAAGUAGUCUUGCACGUUUUCAUUUCCUAUGUGUGCAGAUGUAACUGUAAGAAAGAUGCUCAGGUGUGGGACUGCCAGGUCUAAGGAUCACAGAACCUGUCAUGUUGGCAAGUAGUGCCAGAGUCCCCUGCACAGGGCCUGUGCCAUUUUUCUCUUCAUGGUAAAGUAAUGGCAUUUUUAUUUGUAUUUCUCAUAUUAAUUUGUAUUCCAUUUGGCUAUGAAUAUUUUUCUAUGAAAUGUCUGUUCAUGUGCUUUGCCUGUUUUUCUGUUGGGUUCUUCCUAAUCUUCUUUACUCCUGGGAGCUCCUUAGGAGUUCAGUAUCUAUUCAGGAGAACAGUAUUAGUCAUUUAUAGGAUUUGCAAUUUUUUUCCAGCUUAUUAUUUUGUCAUUUACUUUGCUUAUGGUGUAUUUGUCAUGCUAAUGGAUUUUAAAUUACAUAUGUAUUUUAUCGUCUUUGAUUUUAUGACAUGAAUUUUCAGUCAUAUAAGGGACUUCCCUACUCCAAGGUUAGCAAGGAAUUCACUUAUGUUGUCUUCUGUGACUUUUAAAAACUUCAUUAUACUUUUAAAUACCUGCUAUAAUUGAAGGUUUUUCCCUAUGUAUAAUGUGAGGUAUAGAUCCAAUUUUAUUUUAUCUUUUCUUUAGGUGGACAAGUUGUCCCAUUAAUCUAAAGAUCCAUUUUUUCUAUUGAUACAGAUGUCAUCUUUAGCAUACACUAUAUUACUGAAUGUGUGUCUAUUUUUAAAAUUUUCUUCAAAUCUACAGGUCUUUCUAUUUAUGUACCAACCAGACAUGUAGUUAUUAAGACUCUGUGGUGAGUUUUAAUAUCUGGUAAACUGAAUCUCCCACAUUCUUUCUUCUUUUAGUUUAUCUAGCUAUUUAAAUUUAUUUUGCCACAUGAACUUUAUGGUGUUAUUUGGGGCAGAUAAUGCCAUAUUUAGAAGUUAACUUUGGGAGAACUGGCACCUUUUCUUUAUUGAGUCUUUCUAUCCAUGAUAUCUAAGAUAUGUCUUUAUAUACGUUGAAGUUCUAGGGGAGGAAAAACUAUUCCCCUCUAACUGCCAGGUUCUUCAGCUGGGGCCCUGCAAUGAGACCGACAAAAGACUAACAAGAGGAAAAACACUUUAUUUUUUAUUUAUUUAUUUUUAAUAUUUGAGGAAGUUCUUGAAUUUGUAGGUGGCUGAUGUAGUUAUAAGAUUUCUUCCAAUUAUUAUUAUUAGUUUUAAGAAGAUGUUGGGGGUAGGAGUUUAGUAAUUAAUUAAUUAAUUUUUGCUGUGUUGGGUCUUUGUUUCUGUGCGAGGGCUUUCUCUAGUUGUGGCAAGCGGGGGCCACUUUUCAACCUGGUGCGCGGGCCUCUCACUAUCGUGGCCUCUCUUGUUGUGGAGCACAGGCUCCAGACGCGCAGGCUCAGUAGUUGUGGCUCACGGGCCUAGUUGCUCCGCGGCAUGUGGGAUCCUCCCAGACCAGGGCUCGAACCCGUGUCCCCUGCAUUAGCAGGCAGACUCUCAACCACUGCGCCACCAGGGAAGCCCGGAAAAAACGCUUUAUUAACACAUGCUGUACUCAUCAGUGAUGAAUAACUCAAAGGGGUGGUUAGAACUGGGGCUUACAUAGUAUCUUAGCAAAAGAACAAUACAUUUGUUAAGAAGUGACAAGACAAAGGAUAAGGGGUUUAGGUUUUUAAGGGCUUGUAAACUGUGGGAAGGUAGAUACAUGUGUGAAACCAAUGGAAGAUGAGGGCUAGUUAGUAAGAUUUGUUAUGUAGAUUUCUCUGGGCUGAUAAGAGUCUAAAGUUGUCUCUGUUGAUUAAGAAUUGUCCUGCCCUGGGGUUCCCUAGAGGCGCAGUGGUUGAGAGUCCGCCUGCCGAUACAGGGGACACGGGUUUGUGCCCCGGUCUGGGAAGAUCCCACAUGCCGCGGAGCGGCUGGGCCCGUGAGCCAUGGCCGCUGAGCCUGCGCGUCCGGAGCCUGUGCUCCGCAGCGGGAGAGGCCACAACAGUGAGAGGCACGUGUACCGCAAAAAAAAAAAAAAAAAAAAAAAAAAAUUGUCCUGCCUUUCUUGGUAGAGGAAGGGAGGGCAGAAAUGUUUUGUGUGUGUGUGUGUGUGUGUGUGUGUGUGUGUGUCUGCUUCUUUUCAAUUGCCUUUAGCUCAGAAUAAUCCUUACAUCAGAGUGGCAUAUUUUAGGGUGGUAUGCUCUGAACCCCUGCAAAGUCUAUUGUUAGGUUCUUCAGGAGGGCUUUACAAUUUUCCUCACAUGAAGUUGCACAUUUAAAACAUCUUUUUCUAGGUAUUUUAUCUUUUUAGAUGCUACUGUAAAUAUGGUCUUCUUUUCCAUCUUAUCUUCAGACUAGUUGUCUUAAGAAAUUAGGAAGCACCGUGAGAGAGACUAUAUGUUGAAAUUAAGUAAUUUAUAAGGUCAGUCAAGGAAAGCCACAAUGAAUCAGCUUCAGAACCAGUUCAGUUAACGAAAUUUGUACAGACGCUUGUCAGUACCAUGAAGUUACUGUAAUACAUGCUGGUUAUGUAGCUUCUAAAACCUGAACAACACAUACAACACACAACACAAAACAAUUGUUAUUGAAAAUGGUAGAAUGCCAAAUCACAAUAGGAGACAGAAUUUUAAAGGGGUCUUGGUCUCAUUUAUAACUUGUCACUGCCUGUGUUUUUUUUUUUUUGGCCACACCACGUGGUAUGCAGGAUCCUAGUUCCCCAACCAGGGAUCAGACCCACAGCCAUUGCAGUGGAAGCAGAGUCUUAACCACUGGACCACCAGGGAAGUCCUUGUCAUUGCCUUCUAAUGGGUGGCCUUAGUAUCUGAAGGGGCCGUCUCUUUUGCUGAGGUCUCGAUGUGAGCCUAGGAGUUAAGAGGAUGUUGGAUAGGGUGGAUAUAAAUUGUUCUGGUAAGAAAUAGAAGAGAUAUAGAUGCCUGGGGAAAUAUCCUGGAAUGUGAAAGCCUAGAGCUACCUGGGAUGGAAAUUGGAGGGGGAAGGACUGAGAAGGAACCCCUCUGGUUGGAUGAAAAGUUUGGGGUGGAAGAAACAUGCUGAAUUGGGAUGUUUGAAUUUGUGUGUUGAGAGCUGGGCUGUCUGACUUCCCUGUGAAAUGGUGGUUACUGGCUGAGAAGUCUAUCCUUAUGGAUAUCUGAACCUAUUUCUCCCCACUCUUCUCCAAGAAAACAAUCCAUAAACAUUUUUCCAAAAUUAGCCUUCCUGCAAAAGGAUGACUUCUCCCUGUUGCAUGUCUCAUCACGAGAGAAGAGUGUAACACUCAAUCCUGUUUGUGUGAUGAAUUUUGUGAUGAACAGGCAUGUGGAACAGUUUCUCUCAUUUCUAGCUGUCCACGCUAAUAAGCCUGAUUCUUGCUGCAUUUUGGAUGAGGAAGAGAAGGGCGUCGUUGGGCUCAUAUGCAUUUGCUGUGGCUCCACCCAGAUGUUCCACCAGGUGACCUCCAUGUGGAUGGGUGCCUGCUUCUUAUCAGCCUCUCUCACUCAAAAGCUCCAUUAGACUGCGGAUCUAGUCUACCCUGUUAACUGCUGUAUUCCCAGUGUUCAGAACAGUGUCACGUGGUAGGCCUUUAACAUUUGUUGAACAAGUGAAUAAAAUAUAGUUCAGCUUCUAUAUUUCUUUUGCUUUCUAAAGUUGCAGUUUGUAUAUGCUGCACUGGCUGAAAAUAUAGGUUCUGUAUAAAUUAGUUUAUCCUCAUUGCAAUAAUUAAAAAAUUGUAUGAUAAUAAUGAACUGACAAAAUGACUUUCAAUUUCCCUUUCUAAUCUUACUGUUUCCAUAUCAAAGGAUUUCAAGUGUUCCCGCAAAUCACCAUCGUCAUACAAACAAGUAAAGUAAAAAUCAACAUCUCAAAACAAUCCCAAGUUUUAAAAUUUAACAGCUGAGAGAAGGAAGUGAAGAUAGGAAGGGCUGGGCUUGGUUUGCGCUUGCAGUUUCUUUUCACUUGCUAAUGGAUACCUUACUUUUCCUCUUUAUGACAUGCAGACUGCGAUUUCCAGUAAUAUAUUUCAUUUAGUCCAGCUAUAAUAAAAUAUACCUUUUUUGUGAAUGCACCUAACAUCUACAAAGUACUGGAUGGGAAAUAGCUCAAAGCAGAAAAAUAUUUUGGUUAAAGACUGAAGCAAAAUACAUUAAAAAUUUACUUGAAAAUUUGUCAAGUUCAAAAACAUCUCUCACCAAAGGAAUAUUAACUAAUAUCCACUGAUUAAAUUAAAAAACUGAAAGAUGAAAAUUAUGUAGACAUUUAGCUCAAGAUACUCGAGAAAAAAAGACACAGUAAACAAAAAACAAGGGAAAGGAAGAAAUGAAAAUAAAUGUAGAAAUUAGUGAGUUAGAAGACAAGUACUCAUACUCUAAGGUAAAAAGCUAAUGAGCUUGACUAUGUCAAAAUUAAAGACUCCUGCUAAAUAAAAGGCAACAUAGAAAAGCUGAGAUGCACAGUAUAUUAAGAGAAGGUAUUUGCAAUAUUUAUAACUGACAAGUAAUAAAUCUAGAAAACACAAGGAAUUCCUGCAAAUGGAUAAAAACAGCAACAUCAACCACCACCACAAAUGAAAUACCCUGGAAGAAAAUGAGUGAAGAUUCCUAGAAAUAGAAAGCAGAAUGGAUAACAAGCAUAUCAACAGACGGUUAACCUCACGAUAGGAACUUGAUGAAAAUAAUGAGAAAACAUUAGCUCCCUUAAGAAGAGUAAAUAAUUAGAAAAUCAGGUUGUUGGGCCGCACCCCGCAGGCUUGCACGCCUUAUAGUUGCCCAGCCUUGAGACUGAAGAAAGAGACCAGAGACGGCGACAGAGACAGCAACAGUUCAUUGGACAGGGGUCUUACCGGUCUGCAGCAGAAGGGUCCUGGAGCGACAUCCCACUGUGAACGGCAGACCGCCAGGCAGGACAUGGCAACCAUUUGCACUAUCUGGGGAGAAGGAGGCUACCAUUUAUAGGCGGAAUUGACAUCUGAUUGGCCCAUCAAUUACCAGGGAAACCAGCGGCUGGGGCAGGGGCAAGCAUGUAGGCAGUGACUAAUUAAGCCCUGUAAUCAAGCGUAUUGGCGGUCCGGUGGUUAAGACUCCGCGCUUCCAAUUCAGGGCGUGAGGGUUCGUUCCCUGGUUGCGGAGCUAAGAUCCCGCAUGCUGCAUGGCGCGGCCAGGGGAAAAAAAAAAUAAAAGAGUAUUGGAUAGUCAUGUGUGUCAAGCAGGGCCAGUUGAGCAGGAGAUGUACAGAGAGCAAGAGAACAGCCAUCUUGAAUGGCCUGACUAUACGCAGAUAUUACCAUGUUAACAGGGAUGUGUGGGAAAUAAGAACCUCCUUGCACUGCAGGUGGAGAGCAACCUAGACAUAUUGGAGAAAUGGCCUGUCUACAUACUGCAAUUAGCAACAUUUCUGGGUAUAACUCAGGGCUAUGGCAUGGAAUUUUGGCCCUUUAGGGAAAAUUGUUUUCGGGUCUCCUAUCAAGGGUGGACUUCCGCAAACACCUUUACAUGGGAUUUGUACUGAUAUCACGCUAGGCCCUUGUACCCUUCCAGAUGGUUGGUAAUUUGUAUCAGCUCCUCCCACCCCUCAUUUUCCUUCUGUAUAGCACUGAGAAAGUCUCACACAGAUUCUUAAGGGGAUGUGUUAGAGGAUAUUCAUUGAAGAGAUGUCCAUGUUAGCAGGUGUCCAUCCCUAGGGGCAUGGAUAAGUUAAGGAUGGUGCAUAUAUGACAUGGAAUACUACACACCUGUUAGAAGAGAUGAAUUAGAUGAGUACUGUUGUAGGCUGAAUAAUGGUCCUCUAAGGAUGGCCACGUUCUAAUCCCCAGAACCUGUGCAGAUGUGAUUAAGUAAUGUUAAGGGUCUUGAGGUGGGGGAAGAGUAUCCUGGAUUACCCAGGUGGGCCCAGUGCAAUAACAGGAGUCCUUAACAGAGGAAGGCAGUAGGAUCACAGGAGUAGGAGAUGUAAUGAAGGAAGCAAGAAGCUGGCAUGAAGUAAGGAAGGGGUCAUGAGCCCAGGAAUGCAGGUGGCCUCUGGAAGCUGAAAAAGUCAAGGACACAAGAUUCUUCCCUCAGAGCCUUUGAAAAAACCAACCCUGGCAACGCUUUGACGUUAGCCCAGUGACUUAAGGUGGUAGUUGAUAUUAACUUUGAACUUCUGAUCUCCAGAACCAUACGAUAAUAACUUUUGUUGUUUUAAGCUUCUGAAUUUGAGAUAAUUUGAUAUGGCAGCAAUAAGAAACUAAUAUAAGCAUACAAUAUGGAUAGGUUUAAAAAUUACAGAGUGAAAUAAAUGAAAAAGAUAUUAUGUUUUUCUAGAAAACACUGAUCCAAGAACUGGAAGAAGUCUAUUUAGGAGAAAGGAAUGGGGGUAGGGAUUACAGUAAAGUAAAAAAAUAAAUAAAAGAAUUGAAAUAGAGAGUCUUGUACAGAGCAAUUGUAAAAAUGAGUCAUAAAGAAGGAAGUAUGAUUAACUCUUAUCUCUGCACCUGAGAUUCCCUGUAACACUCCUCCUAUCAAAUUAAAAAAAGAAAGAAAGAAAGAAUGAAAGAAAAAGAAAGAAAGCAAGCAGCGGAAUGGAGUGGCAUGGAAAAUAUGGAGGUGGUUCUAUGAAAAGAUCCCUGGUAUCCGUGACCAUGAAGAAAAGGAGGAAAACAGUAACACCAUUUGAUGUGGGAAAUGGGUUUUAACCACAGAUAUAGAGGAUACUUAGGCAGUAAAUAGUAUUUAUAACAUUAAGCAAAGAAAUUGAAUAUUUAGAUAAAAUCAGUACUCUUUUGCAGGAAUUUUAAAUUACCAAAAUUGACUCAAGGAAUGGCUUAAAAAUAAAAGCAAAAAAAUAACAAAAGAAACCAAUUAGGUGGAAAACCAAAGAGGAAUUUAAAAUAUUUCCUAAAAUGUCAUCCUCCUAAAGCCAGAUUUGGAUAUUUUGAAAGACUAAUUCCAUAAAUACCUUCCAAAAAAAGAUGAUUUCUAUGCUGUUUAAUCUGUUCCAGAUCAUUGAAAAUAAUGGAAACCUUCUAUUCUGCUCCCAAUAGUAAGCUCUGAUAGGAUUGGCAGCAUGAUAAAGAGGAACCUAUUUAGGAGUCAGAGGACCUAUUUUCCAAUCAUGCAUGUUUCACCUGUAAACUGAGUGCUCUCCAGCAGUUCACUUGGUACCCCCUGCUUUAUAGCUUCACCUGUCAAACAGGUGCUUGAUAAAUGCUGGUGUCAUCUGCCCUUCGUUUCCCGGGCCUAUCUCAGAUCUUCACUCUUGGGUUUGCUGUUGCCUCUCCUCUCCUACCUGCGUGUUCCAUCCCAGUCCAGCAUCUGAACCCAUUCUGACCUAGAAUAGGCUCAGUUCCCUUCUCCCCACCGCUUCAAUCCAAGACAGAUUUCGUCUUUGUGAUAUUCAUAGAUUCACAAUAAAGAAGAGGAGGCAAGGCUGACCACAAGGAUCAGCAUGGUUCCCUAACACUCACAGUUGCCCCACCCCCUACCCCAGGCCAUGCAUCUCAUUCCCUGAACAGCUCCAUUUCCAUGUCAGGGAUUCUGCUUUUGUUCCUGCCCAUCUGUCCAGUUCUAGCCCAGGGUUUCCCAACCUGGUGACUGUGGAUACCUGGAAGAUUUCAGGUAGCAGUUGUAAGAAAGUUAAUUCUUUUACAUUCCAACUAUUGUCUGUAGAUUGACUAACUCAUACAAAUAUGUGUUGUUACUUUUCCAAAUGAACUUGUAUCAAUCUUGGUUCAAUCAAGACACAAAAACCACACAGUAAUGUAAAACAGGGGGUGUUUAACAUAAAGAGUUAUCAAACUAUGAUAGAAGAGUAACUAUAAAGAUGUAAAAAGAACUUUAAAGGGCAUCCCAGGACGGAGGAAGUACCCAUGAGAGGACAACUUGGAAGGAGGGGUUCAGGCCUUGCUGGAGAAGGUGUGUUUGUAGCCCACUGGAUGUCAGAGAAGACGACUGUUUGCUGGGACCAGAGCUGCUCCAUAGUUCCUGGGCAAGCAGGGAGCAAUCUCCCAUCAGGGCCUGGGAACAGGCUGGGGGGCGGGCUUGCAAAGGAGUGGGGAAGGUGCAUGCUGUGAACUGAAUGUUUAUCCCCCCCCACCCUAUUCAUAUGCUGAAGCCCAAAUAUGAUGGUAUUUGGAGGUGAGGCCUUUGGGAGGUAAUUAGGUCAUGAGGGUGGAGCCCCAUGAUGGGAUUAGCACCCUUAAAGAGGAAGACAGCUAGUUCUUUUUCCCUCUCUUUCUCUUCUCUGCCAGAAGACUAGACACCCAUAAACUAGGAGGAAGUACUUCACUAAGAAUCUGACCACAUGGGCACCCUGAUCUCAGACUUCCAACCUCUAGAGUUGGGAAAAAUAAAUGUUUGUUGUUUAAGGCACCCAGUCUGUGUAUUCUGUUAUAGCAGCCUGAACUGACUAAGACAGUGUAAGACCUGGAAUGCUUGGUGCAUGUGUUGGGAAGACAGUGGGAGCAAUCCUCUGGCACAUAGGCAAGCUGCAGCUGGUUGGCAGGUGCAUGGAGGGAGCCAGGUUGCCUCUGUGGACAUUGUGAGGCCCAGAGCACGCAAUGCCCACAUUGGAGGGCUGUGCAAAGGAGGUCACAGCCCAGGCUGGGGCUGAAUAGUGUCUGGGGAACUGUAUCUCUGGGCAUGUGGCAGGGGCACACGUGGCACCACAGGCCAAUCAGGCAACAGGAACAAGAAGAAGCAGAACUGAGCACACCAGAGCCAGGACGGGAAGACCCCCCACCCCCAGCAAUGUUAUUCCAGCUCAAGCCCUCACUAACAAAGUUUAGCAUUGUGCUCACUGUCAGGGAGAAAUGCAUAAAGGUUACAGUUCACAUACGCAGAGCAGUUAUGGAAGGAAUUUGGAACUGAGAGGCAAUACAUUGAAAACUGGCACAGUACUGCUGGAAUCAGUGAAGUAUAAAUCCAUUUCAACGCUUUAGUGAUUCCUGGUUGAUUUUUAUCAUUAUGUAUUUCUCAAUUAACAGAUACAAAGAGGACAACUAUUAGCAUGGGGGGAGGGAGUCCCCAAGAUAUGUUGCUGUUGAACAUGAAUACUUUUCCCUUGACAAGCCCAACACUGGAUUCCAUCGUCAACUGACUUCCUCUUCUUUUGACCUUCCUGAGCCCAUGGAUCACCCUCCAUCAACUUUCUGUACAUCUCCAUCAGUCUAUGAAGCCCAGCUUUAAGAAGACCAAUCUGUGUGAAGUCCUGCCUCAACCAAGACCCAGGCACAACAUCAUCACUAGCCCAUAUUGUCUAUCACUCCUUUGCUACGGGAGCCUCUCCUGUGUUCCCCUCAUAGUGGCUAUUUGAGGAGCCUCUGUCUGCAAACUUCCUUCUUCCCUCUCCACAGAUGAUCAGACCACUUGUUUAAUUUUUUUUUUUUUUUUUUUUUUUUUACUGAGACGAUCCAAGUCAACAUGUGUGAGUUUCGUCAAUUAAACUUGUCUUCAAUUCAAAUGA
Orcinus orca (killer whale) is the source of this 11648-nucleotide long non-coding RNA. RefSeq lists it as uncharacterized. The transcript is spliced from 3 exons. NCBI's taxonomy places the organism in Eukaryota, Metazoa, Chordata, Mammalia, Artiodactyla, Delphinidae. The record is from RefSeq and is a predicted model, not a curated record.